GGCUGGUCUGAUGGUAGUGGGUUUUCAGAACUCAUUAACAUAAGUAUCACUAAAGUUGGCAUACAACCCCCAUUGCUAAAUUUGACUAGCUUAAA
Molecule: Y RNA, 95 nt
Filed under: Carlito syrichta (Philippine tarsier)
Lineage: Eukaryota; Metazoa; Chordata; Mammalia; Primates; Tarsiidae
Description: Y RNA (ENSTSYG00000033833.1)
Rfam family: Y RNA
About the family: Y RNAs are components of the Ro ribonucleoprotein particle (Ro RNP), in association with Ro60 and La proteins. The Y RNAs and Ro60 and La proteins are well conserved, but the function of the Ro RNP is not known. In humans the RNA component can be one of four small RNAs -- hY1, hY3, hY4 and hY5.
Source: Rfam by way of RNAcentral